RNAcentral lists this transfer RNA (65 nucleotides) under Dipodomys ordii (Ord's kangaroo rat). It matches the Rfam family "tRNA". From Rfam's summary of the family: Transfer RNA (tRNA) molecules are approximately 80 nucleotides in length. Lineage: Eukaryota; Metazoa; Chordata; Mammalia; Rodentia; Heteromyidae. The record is from Rfam by way of RNAcentral.
GGUGGCUCAGUAGUAGAGUGCUUGCUUUUAAUGCAUGAGGCCCUGGGUUCGAUUCCUAAGCACCA